UACAGAGGGUGCAAGCGUUAAUCGGAAUUACUGGGCGUAAAGCGUGCGUAGUCGGUUAUUUAAGUCGGGCGUGAAAGCCCCGGGCUCAACCUGGGAAUUGCGUUCGAUACUGGAUAGCUAGAGUUCGGCAGAGGGAAGCGGAAUUUCGGGUGUAGCGGUGAAAUGCGUAGAUAUCUGGAGGAACACCGGUGGCGAAGGCGGCAUCCUGGACCAACACUGACGCUGAGGAGCGAAAGCCAGGGGAGCAAACGGG
This 253-nucleotide ribosomal RNA is filed under the name uncultured bacterium. Its description in RNAcentral is "partial 16S ribosomal RNA". It matches the Rfam family "Bacterial small subunit ribosomal RNA", at positions 524 to 776 of the family's 1533-position model. The record is from RNAcentral.